This 460-nucleotide ribosomal RNA is filed under the name uncultured bacterium. RNAcentral describes it as "partial 16S ribosomal RNA". It matches the Rfam family "Bacterial small subunit ribosomal RNA", at positions 338 to 795 of the family's 1533-position model. The record is from RNAcentral.
CCUACGGGAGGCAGCAGUGAGGAAUAUUGGUCAAUGGGCGCGAGCCUGAACCAGCCAAGUAGCGUGAAGGAUGACUGCCCUACGGGUUGUAAACUUCUUUUAUAAAGGAAUCAAGUGAGGCACGUGUGCCUUUUUGUAUUUACUUUAUGUAUUAGGAUCGGCUAACUUCGUGCCAGCAGCCGCGGUAAUACGGAUGAUCCGAGCGUUAUCCGGAUUUAUUGGGUUUAAAGGGAGCGUAGAUGGGUUGUUAAGUCAGUUGUGAAAGUUUGCGGCUCAACCGUAAAAUUGCAAUUGAUACUGGCAGUCUAGAGUACAGUUGAGGUAGGCGGAAUUCGUGGUGUAGCGGUGAAAUGCUUAGAUAUCACGAAGAACUCCGAUUGCGAAGGCAGCUUACUAAACUGCCACUGACAUUGAUGCUCGAAAGUGUGGGUAUCAAACAGGAUUAGAUACCCGAGUAGUG